AAAGGGAGACCUAAUUCAGGUAUAAGACGAAAAAAAAGUAGUCCCUACCAAGAAUCAAUCCCAAAAGGUCGGAACGAGGUAUGAGGCUUUCAAACUAGGUUCUGGGUUCAUAAAAGACCUGAAUCAGGAACAAGGGCUAUUAGCUCAGGUGGUAGAGCGCACCCCUGAUAAGGGUGAGGUCCCUGGUUCGAGUCCAGGAUGGCCCACCUGCACAGGUGGCAAAAACAAGAGAAGCGAGGAAUCAGCACCUUAUCUUAUAUACAUAUAUAAGAGAGAAUGCUGGCUCUGAGUACAGAGUCCAGAGGAACCUUGAAAACUGCAUAGAGCUAGGUGAAAAAGCCAAAAAAGAAGACCGCAAG
Molecule: transfer RNA, 359 nt
Filed under: uncultured Microcystis sp.
Lineage: Bacteria; Bacillati; Cyanobacteriota; Cyanophyceae; Chroococcales; Microcystaceae
Description: partial 16S-23S ribosomal RNA intergenic spacer
Rfam family: tRNA (bases 134-206)
Source: RNAcentral